AAUUUCACGAUUAGGGGAAGAAGGGGGAAAAAGGUGAAGUUCGCCGAUCUUUGAAAUCGAUUUUCUGGUGGCACUUGCUUCAGUUAGGAGUAGGUUUGUUUCUCAUUCGAGUGGUUAGACUUCUGGUUUCGGGAUUUUACUGGUUUUUCUUGCCUUAAAAUCGAACUAAACCACCAGAUCCUUGUAAUUUCUCCUUCUAUUAUCUUAUCAACUUCCAGUUCAGCUCAUUCAGAGUUUAGAGCAGUUCAACGAGGAAUAUCCAUAUCCAUUGGGAAUUCUUCCGAUAUGGAAGCAUGAGAUGUUUUUAUGUUAUUUUAUAUUUUAAAAUGUUAUGUAAUUUUAAUUUUAGGAACAACAUUUGGAAUUGGAACUUGGAACAUUUGUUAUUUUUACUGCAGACUGGAGCUGUAUUCUAGUUUAAAAUGUUUGUAUUUUUGUAAACAUACGUCAUGUGAAAACUCUUAAUUUUAAUGCAGACCAUCACAUUCUUGUGGGAUCAA
Long non-coding RNA from Pistacia vera, 500 nucleotides. RefSeq lists it as uncharacterized. The transcript has 2 exons. Lineage: Eukaryota; Viridiplantae; Streptophyta; Magnoliopsida; Sapindales; Anacardiaceae. The record is from RefSeq and is a predicted model, not a curated record.